AACUUCAUCAAGUUCAAUUGUAUAGGUAUUAGUUUCUUUUUAAAAAAUUUUUUUCCUAAAAAGGCUGUCCUGUUGCUGACCAACACCUUUUGUUCUUUAGCGAGGUAGAAGUAGUACCCUUUAGUUUUCUUUGGAUAUCCUACGAACAAGCAUUUAUCAGACUUAGGUCUAAGCUUAUCUAUCUUUAAAUACUUGAUAUAAGCUAGACACCCUCAGAUCCUA
RNAcentral lists this long non-coding RNA (222 nucleotides) under Elaeis guineensis (African oil palm). RNAcentral's name for it is "long non-coding RNA (EGUI_LNC070620)". Lineage: Eukaryota; Viridiplantae; Streptophyta; Magnoliopsida; Arecales; Arecaceae. The record is from RNAcentral.